GUCUCGUUGGUGUAGUUGGUUAUCACGUGGGUCUCAUAUUGUGUGUUUUAACAUGUCUAUAAUAUGACUACCAGUUCCUGGUGGAUAUCCCAAGGCCGCCAGUUCGAGUCUGGCACGGGACA
RNAcentral lists this transfer RNA (122 nucleotides) under Pyrenophora teres f. teres. Its description in RNAcentral is "tRNA-Met". Lineage: Eukaryota; Fungi; Ascomycota; Dothideomycetes; Pleosporales; Pleosporaceae. RNAcentral also lists the same sequence under 2 other names. The record is from RNAcentral.